RNAcentral lists this ribosomal RNA (518 nucleotides) under Fusarium oxysporum. Its description in RNAcentral is "eukaryotic LSU rRNA". The stretch from base 151 to 304 matches the Rfam family "5.8S ribosomal RNA". The record is from RNAcentral. Lineage: Eukaryota; Fungi; Ascomycota; Sordariomycetes; Hypocreales; Nectriaceae.
UCUGGUGUGGGACGUCACUCCAACCCCUGUGACAUACCACUUGUUGCCUCGGCGGAUCAGCCCGCUCCCGGUAAAACGGGACGGCCCGCCAGAGGACCCCUAAACUCUGUUUCUAUAUGUAACUUCUGAGUAAAACCAUAAAUAAAUCAAAACUUUCAACAACGGAUCUCUUGGUUCUGGCAUCGAUGAAGAACGCAGCAAAAUGCGAUAAGUAAUGUGAAUUGCAGAAUUCAGUGAAUCAUCGAAUCUUUGAACGCACAUUGCGCCCGCCAGUAUUCUGGCGGGCAUGCCUGUUCGAGCGUCAUUUCAACCCUCAAGCACAGCUUGGUGUUGGGACUCGCGUUAAUUCGCGUUCCUCAAAUUGAUUGGCGGUCACGUCGAGCUUCCAUAGCGUAGUAGUAAAACCCUCGUUACUGGUAAUCGUCGCGGCCACGCCGUUAAACCCCAACUUCUGAAUGUUGACCUCGGAUCAGGUAGGAAUACCCGCUGAACUUAAGCAUAUCAAUAAGCCGGAGGAA